Glycine max (soybean) is the source of this 84-nucleotide non-coding RNA. The record is from Rfam. Lineage: Eukaryota; Viridiplantae; Streptophyta; Magnoliopsida; Fabales; Fabaceae.
UUCAACUGUGAUGAGCCAAUAGACCUGUAAUGAUUUGCGGCUAUGAUCGCAAUCAUUAAUGAACAUCUAAGGGACUGAGUUAUC